This 482-nucleotide ribosomal RNA is filed under the name uncultured bacterium. Its description in RNAcentral is "partial 16S ribosomal RNA". It matches the Rfam family "Bacterial small subunit ribosomal RNA", at positions 30 to 507 of the family's 1533-position model. The record is from RNAcentral.
AUUGAAUGCUGGCGGCAUGCCUUACACAUGCAAGUCGAACGGUAACGGGCCUUCGGGUGCCGACGAGUGGCGAACGGGUGAGUAAUACAUCGGAACGUGCCCGAUCGUGGGGGAUAACGAGGCGAAAGCUUUGCUAAUACCGCAUACGAUCUACGGAUGAAAGCAGGGGACCGCAAGGCCUUGCGCGGACGGAGCGGCCGAUGGCAGAUUAGGUAGUUGGUGGGAUAAAAGCUUACCAAGCCGACGAUCUGUAGCUGGUCUGAGAGGAUGAUCAGCCACACUGGGACUGAGACACGGCCCAGACUCCUACGGGAGGCAGCAGUGGGGAAUUUUGGACAAUGGGCGCAAGCCUGAUCCAGCCAUGCCGCGUGCAGGAUGAAGGCCUUCGGGUUGUAAACUGCUUUUGUACGGAACGAAAAGCCUUCUUUUAAUACAGGAGGGUCAUGACGGUACCGUAAGAAUAAGCACCGGCUAACUACGUG